GACGAACGCUGGCGGCGUGCCUAACACAUGCAAGUCGAGCGAAUGAAGUUCCUUCGGGAAUGGAUUUAGCGGCGGACGGGUGAGUAACACGUGGGCAACCUGCCUCAUAGAGGGGAAUAGCCUUCCGAAAGGGAGAUUAAUACCGCAUAAGAUUGUAGUACCGCAUGGUACAGCAAUUAAAGGAGCAAUCCGCUAUGAGAUGGGCCCGCGGCGCAUUAGCUAGUUGGUGAGGUAACGGCUCACCAAGGCGACGAUGCGUAGCCGACCUGAGAGGGUGAUCGGCCACAUUGGGACUGAGACACGGCCCAGACUCCUACGGGAGGCAGCAGUGGGGAAUAUUGCACAAUGGGGGAAACCCUGAUGCAGCAACGCCGCGUGAGUGAUGACGGCCUUCGGGCGUAAAGCUCUGUCUUCAGGACGAUAAUGACGGUACCUGAGGAGGAAGCCACGGCGUAACUACGUGCCAGCAGCCGCGGUAACAUACUCG
RNAcentral lists this ribosomal RNA (487 nucleotides) under uncultured bacterium. RNAcentral describes it as "bacterial SSU rRNA". It matches the Rfam family "Bacterial small subunit ribosomal RNA", at positions 28 to 529 of the family's 1533-position model. The record is from RNAcentral.